RNAcentral lists this ribosomal RNA (433 nucleotides) under uncultured bacterium. Its description in RNAcentral is "partial 16S ribosomal RNA". It matches the Rfam family "Bacterial small subunit ribosomal RNA", at positions 29 to 507 of the family's 1533-position model. The record is from RNAcentral.
AACGAACGCUGGCGGCAGGCCUAACACAUGCAAGUCGAGCGAGGACUUCGGUCCUAGCGGCGGACGGGUGAGUAACGCGUGGGAACGUGCCCUUUGCUUCGGAAUAGCCCUGGGAAACUGGGAGUAAUACCGGAUGAGCCCUUUGGGGGAAAGAUUUAUCGGCGAAGGAUCGGCCCGCGUUGGAUUAGGUAGUUGGUGGGGUAAUGGCCUACCAAGCCGGCGAUCCAUAGCUGGUUUGAGAGGAUGAUCAGCCACACUGGGACUGAGACACGGCCCAGACUCCUACGGGAGGCAGCAGUGGGGAAUCUUAGACAAUGGGGGAAACCCUGAUCGAGCCAUGCCGCGUGAGCGAUGAAGGCCUUAGGGUUGUAAAGCUCUUUCAGCUGGGAAGAUAAUGACGGUACCAGCAGAAGAAGCCCCGGCUAACUCCGUG